RNAcentral lists this ribosomal RNA (264 nucleotides) under uncultured bacterium. RNAcentral describes it as "partial 16S ribosomal RNA". It matches the Rfam family "Bacterial small subunit ribosomal RNA", at positions 793 to 1055 of the family's 1533-position model. The record is from RNAcentral.
GUCCACGCCGUAAACGAUGAGAACUAGGCGUUGGGGGGUUUUAUACCCUUAGUGUCGCAGCUAACGCGAUAAGUUCUCCGCCUGGGGAGUACGGCCGCAAGGUUAAAACUCAAAGGAAUUGACGGGGGCCCGCACAAGCGGUGGAGCAUGUGGUUUAAUUCGAUGCAACGCGAAAAACCUUACCUGCCCUUGACAUCUGGCGAACUUUCCAGAGAUGGAUUGGUGCCUUCGUGAAUGCCAUGACAGGUGCUGCAUGGCUGUCGU